AAUAAUACGUUGAUGAGGACAGUAAACUAAAACCUUAUUUUCAGAGAGAGAAUAUGUUGGUGGAAUUAUUCUUAAAUAAAUUUAGUUGAAAACCACCUCUGAGUGACUUUAAUACAGUCCGUUUAUUACCACGUUACGGUAAUUUAAAGUGAUCUAAUCUCCUACUUAGUUAUAUAUUAUAGUUAUAUUUAGUUUAAGUAAGUAAUUAGAUAAUUAGAGUGGAACCACGGAUAUUUCUUCGUCUCUAUA
Molecule: non-coding RNA, 249 nt
Filed under: Clostridium taeniosporum
Lineage: Bacteria; Bacillati; Bacillota; Clostridia; Eubacteriales; Clostridiaceae
Description: T-box sequence
Rfam family: T-box leader
About the family: Uncharged tRNA acts as the effector for transcription antitermination of genes in the T-box leader family. T-boxes are found upstream of many aminoacyl-tRNA synthetase genes and some amino acid biosynthetic genes usually in Gram-positive bacteria. The anticodon of a specific tRNA base pairs to a specifier sequence within the T-box motif, and the NCCA acceptor tail of the tRNA base pairs to a conserved bulge in the T-box antiterminator hairpin.
Source: RNAcentral